UUGGGAGUCUGGCUCUCGAGAUUCGGAGGGCGGUGCCUCUUCGAUUUUGGAGCAAGCAAUCUUGUUGGGAGUGUUUUCUCGAAUGUGAGUAAAGGUUGGGCAUGUUUGCUAGUCUACCUUGCCACGAAGCACAGAGGUUGACACACAGGGACUUUCCAAUUAUCCAGCAGUGGUACUGUUCCUUUACCCUCUCUUCGAUUUUUUGAGAAAGUAAUCAUGUUGGGAGUCUGGCUCUCGAGAUUCGGAGGGCGGUGCCUCUUCGAUUUUGGAGCAAGCAAUCUUGUUGGGAGUGUUUUCUCGAAUGUGAGUAAAGGUUGGGCAUGUUUGCUAGUCUACCUUGCCACGAAGCACAGAGGUUGACACACAGGGACUUUCCAAUUAUCCAGCAGUGGUACUGUUCCUUUACCCUCUCUUCGAUUUUUGAGAAAGUAAUCAUGUUGGGAGUCUGGCUCUCGAGAUUCGGAGGGGGGUGCCUCUUCGAUUUUGGAGCAAGCAAUCUUGUUGGGAGUGUUUUCUCGAAUGUGAGUAAAGGUUGGGCAUGUUUGCUAGUCUACCUUGCCACGAAGCACAGAGGUUGACACACAGGGACUUUCCAAUUAUCCAGCAGUGGUACUGUUCCUUUACCCUUGUGGGUAAUAAUAUGGUAGCUAGACCUUCAAAAUUUAUGUGUCUAAACUUU
RNAcentral lists this long non-coding RNA (679 nucleotides) under Malus domestica (apple). RNAcentral describes it as "long non-coding RNA (MDOM_LNC020963)". The record is from RNAcentral. Lineage: Eukaryota; Viridiplantae; Streptophyta; Magnoliopsida; Rosales; Rosaceae.